Molecule: ribosomal RNA, 465 nt
Filed under: Vreelandella stevensii
Lineage: Bacteria; Pseudomonadati; Pseudomonadota; Gammaproteobacteria; Oceanospirillales; Halomonadaceae
Description: partial 16S ribosomal RNA
Rfam family: Bacterial small subunit ribosomal RNA
Source: RNAcentral
CCUACGGGUGGCAGCAGUGGGGAAUAUUGGACAAUGGGCGAAAGCCUGAUCCAGCCAUGCCGCGUGUGUGAAGAAGGCCUUCGGGUUGUAAAGCACUUUCAGUGGGGAAGAAAGCCUUGGGGCUAAUACCCUCGAGGAAGGACAUCACCCACAGAAGAAGCACCGGCUAACUCCGUGCCAGCAGCCGCGGUAAUACGGAGGGUGCGAGCGUUAAUCGGAAUUACUGGGCGUAAAGCGCGUGUAGGCGGUCUGAUAAGCCGGUUGUGAAAGCCCCGGGCUCAACCUGGGAACGGCAUCCGGAACUGUCAGGCUAGAGUGCAGGAGAGGAAGGUAGAAUUCCCGGUGUAGCGGUGAAAUGCGUAGAGAUCGGGAGGAAUACCAGUGGCGAAGGCGGCCUUCUGGACUGACACUGACGCUGAGGUGCGAAAGCGUGGGUAGCAAACAGGAUUAGAUACCCGUGUAGUC